UAUAAUCAUUCCUUGACUGUUUGCAUGAUGAUGAUUCAAUUUUUACAAUUCAAAUUAACCAAGAAACAAUAUGGAGAAAACAAGUUCCAAGCAUCAAAACGCUAUAUAGUCCUUUCCCGUUUGAAACCACGAUCCACCACACACAUUUUUCUAUAAUGUGGGAGCUACUACCAGUAUGGCGACGUCUACAGACAAACCAACAGGACAUGAGAAUCAAUGGGAACUCUGCACUCUUCACUAGUACUGGCAUGAAAAGCUUUCAUAAUUAUGAAGCUUUGCAGCUGUAAAACAUUCACAAUCCUUACUUCUUAUUGUGGAUUCUAAUUAUUUUAUUGUGUGCAGAUUCUGUUUAUAGACAUUCAUUUUUUUAUUAUGUGAUUGUAUUUGAGGGCAUUUAUUUUUUUUUCAUAGCGUGAUUCUAUUUAUAGACAUUUAUUUUUUAUUAUGUGAUUCUAUUUAUAGACAUUUGCAUUUUUAUUGUGUGAUUCUAUUUAUAGACAUUUGUUUUUUUGUUAUAUGAUUCUAUUUAUGGACACUUGAUACAACAAAACAAAAAUGGAGGCAAUUGAAUGUAAUAUAUAUAUAUCAUCUAUAUAGUUAUGUUUAGUUGUUAUUAGUACAAAUAUAAAUUCCUAUAAACAUAAUUAAGGAACUAAAAGUGAAAAUAUACUCUAUAGAUAUUGUCCUCA
Long non-coding RNA from Ostrea edulis (European flat oyster), 689 nucleotides. RefSeq lists it as uncharacterized. The record is from RefSeq and is a predicted model, not a curated record. NCBI's taxonomy places the organism in Eukaryota, Metazoa, Mollusca, Bivalvia, Ostreida, Ostreidae. The transcript is spliced from 2 exons.